ACCCGACUGCUAUCGGAGUGGGACUAAGCCAUGCGAGUCCUGCGUCCUCGGCUGCGGGGGCGCGGCGCACGGCUCAGUAACACGUAGUCAACCUGCCCUGGAGACGCGGAUAAUCCCGGGAAACUGGGGCUAAUCCGCGAUAGGCCUGGGGUGCUGGAAGGCCCCUAGGCCGAAAGGGGCAGGCGGGCAUGCUCCGUCUGUCCGCUCCAGGAUGGGACUGCGGCCGAUCAGGUUGUUGGUGGGGUAAUGGCCCACCAAGCCUAUAACCGGUACGGGCUCUGAGAGGAGGAGCCCGGAGAUGGGCACUGAGACAAGGGCCCAGGCCCUACGGGGCGCAGCAGGCGCGAAACCUCCACAAUGCGCGAAAGCGCGAUGGGGUCACUCCGAGUGCCACCCGCUGAGGGUGGCUUUUCCCGGGCCUAAAAAGCCCGGGGAAUAAGGGGAGGGCAAGCCUGGUGUCAGCCGCCGCGGUAAUACCAGCUCCCCGAGUGGUCGGGACGAUUAUUGGGCCUAAAGCAUCCGUAGCCGGCCCGGUAGGUCUCCUGUUAAAUCCAACGGCUCAACCGUUGGGCCGCAGGAGAUACCGCCGGGCUAGGGGGCGGGAGAGGCGGACGGUAUUCCGCGGGUAGGGGUAAAAUCCUCUGAUCCGCGGAGGACCACCAGUGGCGAAGGCGGUCCGCCAGAACGCGCCCGACGGUGAGGGAUGAAAGCUGGGGGAGCGAACCGGAUUAGAUACCCGGGUAGUCCCAGCUGUAAACGAUGCGGGCUAGGUGCUGGAAGGGCUACGGGCCUUUCCAGUGCCGCAGGGAAGCCGUUAAGCCCGCCGCCUGGGGAGUACGGCCGCAAGGCUGAAACUUAAAGGAAUUGGCGGGGGAGCACCACAAGGGGUGAAGCCUGCGGUUCAAUUGGAGUCAACGCCGGGAACCUUACCCGGGGUGACAGCAGGAUGAAGGUCAUGCUAAAGACAUUACCAGACGAGCUGAGAGGAGGUGCAUGGCCGUCGCCAGCUCGUGCCGUGAGGUGUCCUGUUAAGUCAGGCAACGAGCGAGACCCCCGCCGCUAGUUGCUACCAUCUCCCGAAAGGGAGAUGGGGCUAAUUAGCGGGACUGCCACCGCUAAGGUGGAGGAAGGAGGGGGCCACGGCAGGUCAGUAUGCCCCGAAACCCCGGGGCCACACGCGGGCUGCAAUGGUAGGGACAAUGGGAGCCGACCCCGAAAGGGGGAGGAAAUCCCCAAACCCUACCCCAGUUAUGACUGAGGGCUGCAACCCGCCCUCACGAAUCUGGAAUCCCUAGUAACCGCGCGUCACCAUCGCGCGGUGAAUACGUCCCUGCUCCU
RNAcentral lists this ribosomal RNA (1338 nucleotides) under uncultured archaeon. RNAcentral describes it as "bacterial SSU rRNA". It matches the Rfam family "Archaeal small subunit ribosomal RNA", at positions 21 to 1337 of the family's 1478-position model. The record is from RNAcentral.